UACCAGCAUUAUCAACCACCUAAAAGAUGAAUGAUUUAGACCCCAAUUAAACACCAUGAAAAGCAUAUGUUACAGAGAAUCAAGCAGAACUCUACAGAGAAUGUGGGAGAAAAAUGAACCAUGACAGAGAGAAAACAGCUGAACCCAGAACCCAAGAUGUAGCCAUGCCAAUCAGUGAGGGAGAAACAGAUCAAGGAGUGGCAAAGCUUGGAUCUGAAUUCAGAUGCGCUCAUUCUCAAGCCGUAUUCUUAACCACUCUACUACUCUUCUCCAAUUGUUUUGGAAAUAUGAAACAAUUGGAGAUCUGAAGCUUCAAAACUCCUACCAACCACCAUCUCCUUCGUGAAGCCUUCCCUGCCCACCCCAGAUAGGAGGAAUGAAUGAACACCAGUAGUCUGCUGGCCUGCCUGGUCUGCCUGGUGUCUGGCAUCCAGAGACUUUUCCUGGCUGACCUUUUGGAGAAUGUCCAACAUUGAGAAAAUGGAAUCCAAAAGAAGACACAGAACCGGGCUCCAUGUUUUCAGAGACUGCACCACAUUGGUCAUUGGAGUUAAAUGUGUUCAUAUCCAUCGGCUCUGUGCUCUGUCACGCAAAAUAUUAAAAUGAAAUGCUAGGAGAACAGUUUGAAGCAAUCCUUCCUGUUCUUGA
This 648-nucleotide long non-coding RNA is filed under the name Homo sapiens (human). Its description in RNAcentral is "HSALNT0292841". The record is from RNAcentral. Lineage: Eukaryota; Metazoa; Chordata; Mammalia; Primates; Hominidae.